UGGAACACUACGGAGAAAGUCUUCCCUCUGGUGGUCAAAUAGGACCAUCAUUUCUAUCUCAUGAUACCAAAAACCUGACCAGGGAAGAGCAAAUAUUUCCUUCCAGGUACUUGACUGUUUCACUGCUUUAACAUUGCUCUUGAGAGAAGACUGAACACAUAGAAGAUGAAUGAAUGACUUGAUGAAUAACUGAAAAUCAGUUCCAAAAUAAAAAAGAGAGCAAAUGAGGAAGACCUCAUCCUUCUCUGUAAGGGGAGAAACCAUGAAAUAGGAUCAGAGAUACAAGUUUCCUAGACAGGGGGCUUGGGGAUAAAGAAUGAGAGUUUUAUAUGAGCUGAAACUCAUAGCAUUUCCGGCAGGAGAGAGACACUUCCCUGGGCCAUGGUUUCCACACCACCUGUCUUCCUCAGGCCUCCUCCGUUAGGGAAGGUGCGUUCAGAGAAGCCAGAGCUGGGAGAGGAAAAAGGCCUUGAGACCUUGUGUAUCUCAGACCUCCAAAGAUCACUUCAGAUACAAGCCACACAGUGGAUACAGAACCGAGGCACUCUGCACCAAAGCUUGAUCCAGACGCCUGCGCCGCCUGAUUUUUCAUUCUUCCCAAGCGAAAUGAUCCCUGCCUGGGUUGUCCCGGGAUCCUGAGUAGAUCGUCCCCCAUCCAGGCCUGUGUUCCAGGGCAGAGACCAGGUCAUACCACACACACUGCAACAACCUUUAUCCUUCAUGCCCUUGGGACGGACCUGGACAUAAAAUCUUUACACCAAAGACAGGAAACAGUAGAGACCAACCUGGAAACCUUGACCAUGUGAAGUCUUUCCCCUAAGCCAGAACUGGACCCCAAAGAUCCUCUGGGUUAACCAGCCGGGAUUUCCCCAGCAGCGUCUACCUUGCUGCCACGAGUCCUUGUCUGUGCCCGCAGCUCCCAACACACCCGGUACCCACAAGAGAGGAGUGAACUCACGCUGACUGAAACCACACAGCAACACACAGAUUUUUGCAACCUGAUGUGAUAGGUAGUGUGUACACAUCAACAUUCAAUUCCGCAAUGUAGUUAUUAUCUCAGUUCAUCAGAUGAAGAAACGCAUGUUCAAAGAUUUAAAGACCUUUCCCUAAAUCACAAACAAUAAGUAGAAGUGAUAUGUUUUGAAUUACAUUUCUAAAAUUAUAAGGUCAACUCCCCCCCCCCCAAACUAUUGCCUUUGAAACCCAGAUUUUUUUAUUCCCUUGUUAAAACCUAAGAAUAGGUAAUUAAGACUUCACCUAUCAAGAGAUUUACUAUUUGCAACUACGUGGAUGGAACUAGAGGGUAUUAUGCUAAGUGAAAUUAGUCGGGGAAAGACAAAUAUCCUAUGACUUCACUCAUAUGAGGGCUUUAAGAUACAAAACAGAUUAACAUAAGGGAAGGAAAGCAAAAAUAAUAUAAGAACAAGGAAGGGGACAAAACAUAAGAGACUCUUAAAUAUGGAGAACAAACAGGGUUGCUGGAGGGGCUGUAGGAGGGGGAUGGGCUAAAUGGGUGAGGGGCAUUAAGGAAUCUACUCCUGAAAUCAUUGUUGCACUCUAUGCUAACUAACUUGGAUGUAAGAUACUGAAAAUGAACCAUGGACUGAAGGGGGAGGGAGGGGUAUUGGUCAUGUGGGGAGAAGCACUGGGUGUUAUAUGGAAACCAAUUUGACAAUAAACUAUUAAAAAAAAAAGACUCUGGACAACGCUAUACCAAAACAACC
This 1724-nucleotide long non-coding RNA is filed under the name Suricata suricatta (meerkat). Its description in RNAcentral is "lncRNA (ENSSSUG00005017034.1)". The record is from RNAcentral. Lineage: Eukaryota; Metazoa; Chordata; Mammalia; Carnivora; Herpestidae.